Molecule: ribosomal RNA, 253 nt
Filed under: uncultured bacterium
Lineage: Bacteria
Description: partial 16S ribosomal RNA
Rfam family: Bacterial small subunit ribosomal RNA
Source: RNAcentral
UACGUAGGGUCCAAGCGUUAAUCGGAAUUACUGGGCGUAAGGCGUGCGCAGGCGGUUUUGUAAGACGGAUGUGAAAUCCCCGGGCUCAACCUGGGAACUGCAUUCGUGACUGCAAGGCUAGAGUGUGUCAGAGGGAGGUGGAAUUCCGCGUGUAGCAGUGAAAUGCGUAGAGAUGCGGAGGAACACCGAUGGCGAAGGCAGCCUCCUGGGAUAACACUGACGCUCAUGCACGAAAGCGUGGGGAGCAAACAGG